GAUGAACGCUGGCGGCGUGCCUAAUACAUGCAAGUCGAGCGAACAGAUGAGGAGCUUGCUCCUCUGACGUUAGCGGCGGACGGGUGAGUAACACGUGGAUAACCUACCUAUAAGACUGGGAUAACUUCGGGAAACCGGAGCUAAUACCGGAUAAUAUAUUGAACCGCAUGGUUCAAUAGUGAAAGACGGUUUUGCUGUCACUUAUAGAUGGAUCCGCGCCGCAUUAGCUAGUUGGUAAGGUAACGGCUUACCAAGGCAACGAUGCGUAGCCGACCUGAGAGGGUGAUCGGCCACACUGGAACUGAGACACGGUCCAGACUCCUACGGGAGGCAGCAGUAGGGAAUCUUCCGCAAUGGGCGAAAGCCUGACGGAGCAACGCCGCGUGAGUGAUGAAGGUCUUCGGAUCGUAAAACUCUGUUAUUAGGGAAGAACAAAUGUGUAAGUAACUAUGCACGUCUUGACGGUACCUAAUCAGAAAGCCACGGCCAACUACGUG
RNAcentral lists this ribosomal RNA (497 nucleotides) under uncultured bacterium. RNAcentral's name for it is "partial 16S ribosomal RNA". It matches the Rfam family "Bacterial small subunit ribosomal RNA", at positions 28 to 507 of the family's 1533-position model. The record is from RNAcentral.